CCUACGGGAGGCAGCAGUGAGGAAUAUUGGUCAAUGGGCGGAAGCCUGAACCAGCCAAGUAGCGUGCAGGAUGACGGCCCUACGGGUUGUAAACUUCUUUUAUACGGGAAUAACGCGCCUUACGUGUAGGGCUUUGCAUGUACCGUAUGAAUAAGGACCGGCUAAUUCCGUGCCAGCAGCCGCGGUAAUACGGAAGGUCCGGGCGUUAUCCGGAUUUAUUGGGUUUAAAGGGAGCGUAGGCGGCAUGUCAAGCGUGCUGGGAAAUGUGCGGGCUCAACCCGGGCCGUGCAGGGCGAACUGGCGUGCUUGAGUGCGCGGGAAGCAGGCGGAAUGCGUGGUGUAGCGGUGAAAUGCUUAGAUAUGACGAAGAACCCCGAUUGCGAAGGCAGCUUGCUGCAGCGGAACUGACGCUGAUGCUCGAAAGCGCGGGUAUCGAACAGGAUUAGAUACCCUUGUAGUC
This 460-nucleotide ribosomal RNA is filed under the name uncultured bacterium. RNAcentral describes it as "partial 16S ribosomal RNA". It matches the Rfam family "Bacterial small subunit ribosomal RNA", at positions 338 to 795 of the family's 1533-position model. The record is from RNAcentral.